RNAcentral lists this ribosomal RNA (508 nucleotides) under uncultured bacterium. RNAcentral's name for it is "partial 16S ribosomal RNA". It matches the Rfam family "Bacterial small subunit ribosomal RNA", at positions 28 to 507 of the family's 1533-position model. The record is from RNAcentral.
GACGAACGCUGGCGGCGUGCCUAAUACAUGCAAGUCGAACGCUUCUUUCCUCCCGAGUGCUUGCACUCAAUUGGAAAGAGGAUUGGCGUACGUGUGAGUAACACGUUGUUAACCUACCCCUCAGCUUGGGAUAACACUUGGAAACAUGUGCUAAUACCUCAUAACAGUUUAUGCCGCAUUGCAUAAGAGUUAAACGCUCUUUCGUGUGUCGCUGAUGGAUUGACCCGCUGUUCAUUAGCUAGUUGGUGAGGUAACGGCUCACCAAGGCCACGAUGAAUAGACGAACUGAGAGGGUGAUCGGCAACAAUGGGAAAGAGACACGGAACAGAAUAAUACGGGAGGAAGCAGUAGGGAAACUGAGGCAAUGGACGAAAGAAUGACAGAGAAAAGCAGAGUGAGUGAAGAAGGGUUGAGGAUAGUAAAACUAUGUUGUUAGAGAAGAACAAGGAAGUUAGUAACUGAACGUACCAUGGCGGUAUAUAAACAGAAAGCCACGGCUAACUACGUG